GUGUUUCUUCCUUUAUUUAUUUCAAAUACAAGUAUAGUUAGGAUAAAUUUUGGAGCAAAUUUGAAUGCUCAGAAUGCAGGAAAUGACAUUUCCGGGAGUCAAAUUUCAAAACUUUUCUGGGGGAGACACCCCCAAACACCCCAUUCAUGAGUGGUAUAUUUGCCACACACGUGGCUUUCAGCCAUUGCUAUCGGCCCUCUAAUAUAUUAUCUCACAGAAAGGUCCCUUUUCAAAAAAUGCCCCCCCCCCCCACAGGAAAAUCCUUAAAAAAGGCCCUGCACCUGAAUCCGCAGUAACUGUAUAUUUAUUAUUAACUAAACACCCAAGUAUCUCCCUCGGGGUCACUAGACAGAGAAAAUAAUAAAGAUAGGACAAUUGCGCAUAUUGACGACGCAGUCAUCAGAGCAAGCGCCUUUCACCUCUGAGGUCGUGGCGGUUCGACUCUCGCCACGGACUCAUGUGUGGACUCUUGUGAAAAGAGUCAGUCAACGUUCUGCCGAAAGUCGUGGGUUUUCUCCGGGCUAUCUGGUUUCCUCCCACAGGAAAAGUUGACAGGGUGGGUUAGGAUAAACACAGUUAAGAAAGUAAUAUCACAAUUGUUGUAAAGACAAAAUGGUCUAGGCUAAGUACACACGUAAAACGCCCAGGUUGAUGCAAUAUUGAUGAAAACAGGAUUGAACAAUG
Paramuricea clavata is the source of this 684-nucleotide non-coding RNA. Lineage: Eukaryota; Metazoa; Cnidaria; Anthozoa; Malacalcyonacea; Plexauridae. The record is from the annotation of a GenBank genome assembly.